GAGACUGAGGGGUAUGGGGUGACUGGAGAGCCGGUGGGGGCAGUCAGCGAAGACAGACUUAACCACAAUAUACAGAACACAGCAAAAUUUAUCUUGACCU
Molecule: non-coding RNA, 100 nt
Organism: Chelonoidis abingdonii (Abingdon island giant tortoise)
Lineage: Eukaryota; Metazoa; Chordata; Testudines; Testudinidae
Source: RefSeq, a predicted model, not a curated record